RNAcentral lists this ribosomal RNA (856 nucleotides) under uncultured Flavobacteriaceae bacterium. Its description in RNAcentral is "bacterial SSU rRNA". It matches the Rfam family "Bacterial small subunit ribosomal RNA", at positions 39 to 885 of the family's 1533-position model. The record is from RNAcentral. Lineage: Bacteria; Pseudomonadati; Bacteroidota; Flavobacteriia; Flavobacteriales; Flavobacteriaceae.
GCGGCACGCUUCAUACAUGCAAGUCGAGGGGCAGCAUAAAGUACUUGUACUUUGAUGGCGACCGGCGAACGGGUGCGUAACGCGUAUGCAACUUACCUUUUACUAGAGAAUAGCCAAGAGAAAUUUUGAUUAAUGCUCUAUACUCUUAAUAACUCACAUGAGUUUUUAAGAAAAGCUCCGGCGGUAAAAGAUGGGCAUGCGUCCUAUUAGCUUGUAGGUGAGGUAACGGCUCACCUAAGCUCCGAUAGGUAGGGGUCCUGAGAGGGAGAUCCCCCACACUGGUACUGAGACACGGACCAGACUUCUACGGAAGGCAGCAGUAAGGAAUAUUGGACAAUGGAGGCAACUCUGAUCCAGCGAUGCCGCGUGAAGGAAGACGGCCCUAUGGGUUGUAAACUUCUUUUAUACAGGAAGAAACCUUUCCACGUGUGGAAAGCUGACGGUACUGUAAGAAUAAGGAUCGGCUAACUCCGUGCCAGCAGCCGCGGUAAUACGGAGGAUCCAAGCGUUAUCCGGAAUUAUUGGGUUUAAAGGGUCCGCAGGCUGUUUGUUAAGUCAGGGGUGAAAUCCUACCGCUCAACGGUAGAACUGCCUUUGAUACUGGCAAACUUGAGUUAUUGUGAAGUAGUUAGAAUGUGUAGUGUAGCGGUGAAAUGCAUAGAUAUUACACAGAAUACCGAUUGCGAAAGCAGAUUACUAACAAUAUACUGACGCUGAGGGACGAAAGCGUGGGUAGCGAACAGGAUUAGAUACCCUGGUAGUCCACGCCGUAAACGAUGGUCACUAGCUGUUUGAUGUACAUUGGUACAUUGAGUGGCUAAGCGAAAGUGAUAAGUGACCCACCUGGGGAGUACGC